Molecule: ribosomal RNA, 261 nt
Filed under: uncultured bacterium
Lineage: Bacteria
Description: partial 16S ribosomal RNA
Rfam family: Bacterial small subunit ribosomal RNA
Source: RNAcentral
GUCCACGCUGUAAACGUUGGGCGCUAGGUGUGGGGUGCUUCCACGUGUCCCGUGCCGUAGCUAACGCAUUAAGCGCCCCGCCUGGGGAGUACGGCCGCAAGGCUAAAACUCAAAGGAAUUGACGGGGGCCCGCACAAGCGGCGGAGCAUGUUGCUUAAUUCGACGCAACGCGAAGAACCUUACCAAGGUUUGACAUCACCCGGAAACUGCCAGAGAUGGUGGCCUCUUCGGACUGGGUGACAGGUGGUGCAUGGCUGUCGU